RNAcentral lists this ribosomal RNA (342 nucleotides) under Triticum aestivum (bread wheat). RNAcentral describes it as "partial small subunit ribosomal RNA". Lineage: Eukaryota; Viridiplantae; Streptophyta; Magnoliopsida; Poales; Poaceae. The record is from RNAcentral.
AUGCGUACGAGCUUUUCACAUAUUGCUCUUUGCUUAUUUACUUUACCAUUGCUACUGUUACAAUUACUACAAAACUGCUACUGUUACUUUUGCUAUCGUUACCGUUACUUCCAUACUACUUUGCUACUAAAUACUUUGCUGCAGAUACUAAGUUAUCCAGGUGUGGUUGAAUUGGCAACUCAACUGCUAAUACUUGAGAAUAUUCUUUGGCUCCCCUUGCGUCGAAUCAAUAAAUUUGGGUUGAAUACUCUACCCUCGAAAACUAUUGCGAUCCCCUAUACUUGUGGGUUAUCAAGAAUAUUUUCUGGCGCCGUUGCCGGGGAGCAGAGCUCUAUUCUUUGA